CCUACGGGUGGCAGCAGUGGGGAAUAUUGGGCAAUGGGCGAAAGCCUGACCCAGCAACGCCGCGUGAAGGAAGAAGGCUUUCGGGUUGUAAACUUCUUUUCUGAGGGACGAAGAAAGUGACGGUACCUCAGGUAUAAGCCACGGCUAACUACGUGCCAGCAGCCGCGGUAAUACGUAGGUGGCAAGCGUUAUCCGGAUUUAUUGGGUGUAAAGGGCGUGUAGGCGGGAAAGCAAGUCAGAUGUGAAAACUAAGGGCUCAACCCUGAGCCUGCAUUUGAAACUGUUUUUCUUGAGUGCUGGAGAGGCAGUCGGAAUUCGGGGUGUAGCGGUGAAAUGCGUAGAUAUAAGGAGGAACACCGGUGGCGAAGGCAGAUUACUAAACAGUAACUGACGCUGAGGCGCGAAAGCGUGGGGAGCAAACAGGAUUAGAUACCCGAGUAGUC
Molecule: ribosomal RNA, 443 nt
Filed under: uncultured bacterium
Lineage: Bacteria
Description: partial 16S ribosomal RNA
Rfam family: Bacterial small subunit ribosomal RNA
Source: RNAcentral